Gallus gallus (chicken) is the source of this 110-nucleotide microRNA precursor. The record is from Ensembl. NCBI's taxonomy places the organism in Eukaryota, Metazoa, Chordata, Aves, Galliformes, Phasianidae.
ACAGUCUUUGUCUCAAAGGGAAACGGCGUUGGUCUCCCAGUCUGUUGGUGAUUCUGCUACUUCAUCAGAGCCUGGGAGUAAACGUGGUCCUGUGACAAGUGCAGCAGAAC